AAUCACUGAUCUUCUAAUAUCUACAGAUAUCAGUGAGCAUUAUAUAGGCGACCACCAUGUGCUACAGCUGCCUAUGGUGCUGUGUGCUAUGUCUCUCCUCAUUAAUUCUGGUGUGUUCUGUGUUCUUCUAUCGCCACAUAGCUAUUUCCUAAUAUAGAUAUCUCCGUUGUGUCUAUUACAGAAGAUCAGAAUAUUGUUCAUGUACACUGAAGUGAUCUCAUCAAGCAGAUCUCAUAGAGCUCAGUUAAUGUAUUUCUGAAACAUGCUUAAGAUGUUUGCUAAUUCAAAAGAGAUCACUGUUCAUUCAUAUAAUCUGUAAUGUGUAUGAAAAGCAGUUAGCCAUUCAUCAUCUUCAUUAAUUCUUAUCUUAUAGAAGGCUGCAG
Molecule: small RNA, 383 nt
Filed under: Histoplasma ohiense
Lineage: Eukaryota; Fungi; Ascomycota; Eurotiomycetes; Onygenales; Ajellomycetaceae
Description: hypothetical lncRNA
Source: RNAcentral